CCGAGUCUUAAUUGGGCGUUAAGUUGCAGGGUAUAGACCCGAAACCCGGUGAUCUAGCCAUGGGCAGGUUGAAGGUUGGGUAACACUAACUGGAGGACCGAACCGACUAAUGUUGAAAAAUUAGCGGAUGACCUGUGGCUGGGGGUGAAAGGCCAAUCAAACCGGGAGAUAGCUGGUUCUCCCCGAAAGCUAUUUAGGUAGCGCCUCGUGAAUUCAUCUCCGGGGGUAGAGCACUGUUUCGGCUAGGGGGCCAUCCCGGCUUACCAACCCGAUGCAAACUGCGAAUACCGGAGAAUGUUAUCACGGGAGACACACGGCGGGUGCUAACGUCCGUCGUGAAGAGGGAAACAACCCAGACCGCCAGCUAAGGUCCCAAAGUCAUGGUUAAGUGGGAAACGAUGUGGGAAGGCCCAGACAGCCAGGAUGUUGGCUUAGAAGCAGCCAUCAUUUAAAGAAAGCGUAAUAGCUCACUGGUCGAGUCGGCCUGCGCGGAAGAUGUAACGGGGCUAAACCAUGCACCGAAGCUGCGGCAGCGACGCUUAUGCGUUGUUGGGUAGGGGAGCGUUCUGUAAGCCUGUGAAGGUGUGUCGUGAGGCAUGCUGGAGGUAUCAGAAGUGCGAAUGCUGACAUAAGUAACGAUAAAGCGGGUGAAAAGCCCGCUCGCCGGAAGACCAAGGGUUCCUGUCCAACGUUAAUCGGGGCAGGGUGAGUCGACCCCUAAGGCGAGGCCGAAAGGCGUAGUCGAUGGGAAACGGGUUAAUAUUCCCGUACUUGGUGUUACUGCGAAGGGGGGACGGAGAAGGCUAUGUUGGCCGGGCGACGGUUGUCCCGGUUUAAGCGUGUAGGCUGGUUUUCCAGGCAAAUCCGGAAAAUCAAGGCUGAGGCGUGAUGACGAGGCACUACGGUGCUGAAGCAACAAAUGCCCUGCUUCCAGGAAAAGCCUCUAAGCAUCAGGUAACAUCAAAUCGUACCCCAAACCGACACAGGUGGUCAGGUAGAGAAUACCAAGGCGCUUGAGAGAACUCGGGUGAAGGAACUAGGCAAAAUGGUGCCGUAACUUCGGGAGAAGGCACGCUGACACGUAGGUGAAGUGAUUUACUCAUGGAGCUGAAGUCAGUCGAAGAUACCAGCUGGCUGCAACUGUUUAUUAAAAACACAGCACUGUGCAAACACGAAAGUGGACGUAUACGGUGUGACGCCUGCCCGGUGCCGGAAGGUUAAUUGAUGGGGUCAGCGCAAGCGAAGCUCCUGAUCGAAGCCCCGGUAAACGGCGGCCGUAACUAUAACGGUCCUAAGGUAGCGAAAUUCCUUGUCGGGUAAGUUCCGACCUGCACGAAUGGCGUAAUGAUGGCCAGGCUGUCUCCACCCGAGACUCAGUGAAAUUGAACUCGCUGUGAAGAUGCAGUGUACCCGCGGCAAGACGGAAAGACCCCGUGAACCUUUACUAUAGCUUGACACUGAACAUUGAGCCUUGAUGUGUAGGAUAGGUGGGAGGCUUUGAAGUGUGGACGCCAGUCUGCAUGGAGCCGACCUUGAAAUACCACCCUUUAAUGUUUGAUGUUCUAACGUGGACCCGUGAUCCGGGUUGCGGACAGUGUCUGGUGGGUAGUUUGACUGGGGCGGUCUCCUCCUAAAGAGUAACGGAGGAGCACGAAGGUUGGCUAAUCCUGGUCGGACAUCAGGAGGUUAGUGCAAUGGCAUAAGCCAGCUUGACUGCGAGCGUGACGGCGCGAGCAGGUGCGAAAGCAGGUCAUAGUGAUCCGGUGGUUCUGAAUGGAAGGGCCAUCGCUCAACGGAUAAAAGGUACUCCGGGGAUAACAGGCUGAUACCGCCCAAGAGUUCAUAUCGACGGCGGUGUUUGGCACCUCGAUGUCGGCUCAUCACAUCCUGGGGCUGAAGUAGGUCCCAAGGGUAUGGCUGUUCGCCAUUUAAAGUGGUACGCGAGCUGGGUUUAGAACGUCGUGAGACAGUUCGGUCCCUAUCUGCCGUGGGCGCUGGAGAACUGAGGGGGGCUGCUCCUAGUACGAGAGGACCGGAGUGGACGCAUCACUGGUGUUCGGGUUGUCAUGCCAAUGGCACUGCCCGGUAGCUAAAUGCGGAAGAGAUAAGUGCUGAAAGCAUCUAAGCACGAAACUUGCCCCGAGAUGAGUUCUCCCUGAGACUUAAAGUCUCCUGAAGGAACGUUGAAGACGACGACGUUGAUAGGCCGGGUGUGUAAGCGCAGCGAUGCGUUGAGCUAACCGGUACUAAUGAACCGUGAGGCUUAACCUUACA
This 2274-nucleotide ribosomal RNA is filed under the name Salmonella enterica subsp. enterica serovar Give. RNAcentral describes it as "partial 23S ribosomal RNA". It matches the Rfam family "Bacterial large subunit ribosomal RNA", at positions 677 to 2925 of the family's 2925-position model. The record is from RNAcentral. Lineage: Bacteria; Pseudomonadati; Pseudomonadota; Gammaproteobacteria; Enterobacterales; Enterobacteriaceae.